CAAUGCAAUAGAGGUUGCGACAAUUACGAAAAUCAGCCUAGUACGCGAAUAUGAUUAAGCUGAUUGUAAGAAUUGUUGCCGAAAUCGAAUUGACUUUCGCGGGUUAGUUCGGUUGGGCUACAGGAGCAGAUCCUGUAGACUGUCCUGAGAAUAUCAGGGAGCGCUAUACGAUUU
This 174-nucleotide non-coding RNA is filed under the name Lactobacillus pasteurii. RNAcentral's name for it is "Lysine sequence". It matches the Rfam family "Lysine riboswitch aptamer". Rfam says of the family: Riboswitches are metabolite binding domains within certain messenger RNAs that serve as precision sensors for their corresponding targets. Allosteric rearrangement of mRNA structure is mediated by ligand binding, and this results in modulation of gene expression. The record is from RNAcentral. RNAcentral also lists the same sequence under 1 other name. Lineage: Bacteria; Bacillati; Bacillota; Bacilli; Lactobacillales; Lactobacillaceae.